GCAACAUGGUUAUGGGUACUACAGUGGAUGUGAGUGUGUAGACCUUGUACAAUAGAGCUUAUAGGCUAAUGAGAAGACAGGAAGAAACAACAGGAACACAUAUAGCUGGAAUGCAGAUGGGAUCUGUGCUACUUACGCUAGCCAUGGGAUGAUUAGAACAAGAUAAGAGACAUGAGGAAGACUUCUUCAAGGAGGUGCUCAAGCCAUGUUUUGGAAAAGAGAACUCAAGGUCUGGCAGGGAGAAAGGAGCAAGAGUAGACUUUGAGUCUUUGCUUCAGAUGCAGAUCAAGAUGUGGCAACCUGUUGUGGAGAACUGGGUCCCUUGAGCCUGUGCUGUCUCUUUUUUUCUGGUGGCUUUGUCAUUUGGAACAAUGCAUAAUGGGCUGGAGGCUGAGAAACUCUGAGCUGAGGGCAAGUAGAGCUGCAGCUGUCUGGCGCCACUGUAAUGCUGUCUCCUCCUCUGAGUGAGUUCAUCCUGGAAACAUUUUCUCCCAUAAGACAUGCACAGGUCUUACGUUUACAUGUUUCACUGAAAGAAAUUUGAUUCCACUGCUGGGAUGACAAGGAAGACUGAAGAAACCUAAUCCUAGGUGCUGCCACUGGG
This 604-nucleotide long non-coding RNA is filed under the name Homo sapiens (human). RNAcentral describes it as "non-protein coding LINC02532:35". The record is from RNAcentral. Lineage: Eukaryota; Metazoa; Chordata; Mammalia; Primates; Hominidae.